Molecule: transfer RNA, 73 nt
Filed under: Felis catus (domestic cat)
Lineage: Eukaryota; Metazoa; Chordata; Mammalia; Carnivora; Felidae
Also listed under: 3 other names
Rfam family: tRNA
About the family: Transfer RNA (tRNA) molecules are approximately 80 nucleotides in length. Their secondary structure includes four short double-helical elements and three loops (D, anti-codon, and T loops). Further hydrogen bonds mediate the characteristic L-shaped molecular structure. tRNAs have two regions of fundamental functional importance: the anti-codon, which is responsible for specific mRNA codon recognition, and the 3' end, to which the tRNAs corresponding amino acid is attached (by aminoacyl-tRNA synthetases). tRNAs cope with the degeneracy of the genetic code in two manners: having more than one tRNA (with a specific anti-codon) for a particular amino acid; and 'wobble' base-pairing, i.e. permitting non-standard base-pairing at the 3rd anti-codon position.
Source: Rfam by way of RNAcentral
ACCUAGCUGGCUCAAUCAAGGGAGCAUGUAACUCUUGACCUCAGGGUUGUGAGUUCGAACCCCACGUUGGGUA